Alosa sapidissima (American shad) is the source of this 350-nucleotide long non-coding RNA. RefSeq lists it as uncharacterized. The transcript has 2 exons. NCBI's taxonomy places the organism in Eukaryota, Metazoa, Chordata, Actinopteri, Clupeiformes, Clupeidae. The record is from RefSeq and is a predicted model, not a curated record.
GCAUAGAUUAGCAGCCUCCAUGUCGGCCGCAACUUGUCGCUUCCACUUGUUCCGCCGAUUCUGGAACCAAAUCUUCACCUGCGUCUCAGUCAGGUGGAGAGAGGCCGCGAGCCCUGCUCGCUCAGCGCUGCUCAGAUGGAUAGGAUCACAAAACAUCUGCUGGCCAGCCUCAUCCUCUCUCUCAAGCAGAGAUCUUCUUAUGGCGUCCUUCUUUUAAAAGGGAGUGUUCCCUCGUCACCUGACUGCUUGGUGUGGUUAGCAGUCUGGGCUCCAUAAAGGACCUUCAGAUUGGUCUCAGUUGUUAUUGUCGCAAUAUGUAACAAAUAAAAUUAAAUGAAUUUGAGCUUAAA